UAAAUAAGAUUUCAGACAAAGUACAGCCCCCGCCUAGUGUCUGCCAUUUCGUUCGAACUGUUUCUGUGUCUCUGUGGUAACUUGAGUGUGCUUUUGAUGGAAUGGAAGCCCUCCAAAUGAGCCAAUGGAAGCAACUGAACCAACACUAUUACAUGAACUCACCCUCCUCCAAACUCAAACAAAGCUUCUUCCCUUUCAAGCUCAGAGCCUUUUUCUGUACAUCUUCGCUAUCUCCAUUAAAUUUAGACCAAGCGCAAAAUGUUCUAACCCAACCUCCAAUUCUUACCCCAGGAAAACCAAAGAACACUCUUUCAAGUAACGGUGUUGCGGGUAGGGCCGUUAAGUUCUCCGAUGCCCAACUUAAGGAGAACUGGUUGGAUUCCCUCACUUGCCCUGUCCCCGAUAUUUCCGACCCUUUCAAUGGCAGUUGGACCCAUGCCGUUUCAGAUUGGGUUCUUGGUAUCGACCCGGACAUUCAUGGUGCAUUGGCGCUCUUGAAAAGUGUUGAGUCUGGUUCUUCUGCUCAGGUAUUUGAUUCUCCGCACUUGCAAGUACUGGUCGGGAAAAGAGUUCGACGACGUUUAGAUGCCAAGUCUAUUGUUCAGUUGCUUCGCAGUCUUGAUGCUCCUAGUGGAACUACGGCAUAUAUAGAACAAUCAAUCCCUUUUCCACAGGAUGGAAAACAGGGGUGGUGGAGUGGAGGAUUUGGGUAUGGGCUAUGGAUUGGGAUCUUAGUUGCCUCGGGAUUUUCUGUUGUGCCAGUGCCUUCUAUGCUAUGGAAAAAACAAUUUACACUGUCUGGAGGGAGGUCUACAAAGGAUGAUAGCCGGAGACUUGCAUCCACAUUAUUUCCAUCAUUGAGUCCCCUACUGAAAAGAAAAAAGGAUCAUGGAAGGGCUGAGUCUCUACUCAUUGCUGCCUAUGGCCAGGGCCUGAAGAAGCUAAACUCGUCAUGCAUGUCAGAAGAAUUGGAGCCUAACAAUGGCAAGUUGCCCUAGCAUCUCUCGAUAACUACAUCUAGAUGUUGAUGUGCCAGAUGUGUUGUGACUGCUUAUUGAAUGAGAAGUGGACUGACUAACAGAGCAGCACAAAAGACUCUUCUGUUAGAGCUUUGGUGUUUCUCACACAUUCAUGAUACCUGGUAGAGGACAUAUUAACCAUUUUUUUCACUCACUUUGCACUAUUUUCAUGGGAUUGAAGUUCCAGCAUGUACAUACCAAUUUCAGAUAAGCAUCCAAAACAAAAAGCAAUCACUAAGGACCUGAGCUUUAUCCACUCUAAGCUCUUUCCGUUUCUCUUGUAAUGGUAUUAAAGACGAUGGCAUGUGUGAGGUUAAGAAGUAUGUGGCUUUAGACUCGAGAACUAAGCAUUCAUGAUGGAGGCCUGCCACGAAAGAAGACAGAUAAGAAAACCAAUUACACACUCGCCAUGUUUUAUGUUACAAUUGUCUGUAAAAUAGAUUAUGGGAGUACCAUACUUUUCCUCAAUUUGGGUGUUUAAGCUACAAUUUCAUUCGUCACAUUUCGCAGCCCCUUGUUCACAGUUUCCUCUUUUCACAAUUAUUAGUUAUAGAAGUAAAAUCAAGAGUUGAAAGAUCAUAGGCUGAGGGAGUCAUUUCAUGAUAUAUUCCUUUCCCCUCUUCAGAUACGCCCCCCCUACUCCCCCCUUUCCUCAAACUCAUACCGUUUCUUCUUUAUAAUUUCUUGCUCCACUGGGAGUGGGGAAGGGGCUUUCGACUUGUAUCUCCUCUCCGUCUUUCCUUCCUCCAAUAAACCUUCAUCUAUUCCCCUUUUUUUUACUUCUCUCUAUUUUCCAUAAGAUCAAAACCCAUUUGCAAGUGCUGCAAAAAAACUAACACGAGGCUCUCACGCUCUCAUAUCAUACUUGAUUUUCAAGUGUCACUAGGUUUCUUGGCCUUCAAAUGCCAAAUGAAUGGACAGCAAAGGUUACGUUGGGGUGCUAGAUAAUUUUAGAUGAUCUAUGAAUAGUAGUAAAUAAUAGUAAAAAAAUAGUGAAUAGUAGUGAUGCUGAAGUAAUUGUAGAUGAUUUAUAAAUAGUAGUAAAUAAUAGUGAAAAAAUAGUGAAUAGUAGUGAUCGUUUGUAUUCAAUAAUGAAUGAGACUAAUUCCCUUACCAAACACAGCUUUCGUCUCCAAAUCCUACAUCUUCACCUAAACACACUCAAAUUCAUUUGUCCUAUGUGUCAUCACCAUCACAACUCACGAGUAUCCUUGAUGAGUUGCUGCUAUCAUGGUUGUCUAAUUCUGGUUAUCCAGCCAUAUUUCAGGUUUCUUUAAUAGUGGACUUUGUAGAAAAGGAUGUGUAGAUUUCCAUCAAAACUCCAACGAUUUGUUACAAUGUGUGCCCUUUCCCUAGAUACGACCCAAGUAGCAUUUCUCUUCUCUAAAUUACAAAAAAUCUCAAUCUACAAUAUCCUAAAUCACUAUUAAGUUUCCCUUUACACCAUUUACUCAUAUAUGAAUAUUAAUAUUGUGCCACUAGCCCAAUCUAAUACUGCAUUUGAAUGCUGAGAUGAUCUGAAUUGAUAUGUAAAUAGUAAGUAAUAUUUUGUUGGUCCCAUUCAGAUAUAUUUAAAUGUAAUUAUGUCGAGAUAUGUGUUAAAUAUAUGAAAUAGGUUGAGAUAAAUUUAACUUUUUAUGAAAAGUUGAAAAAGUAGUGAGUCCCAUCAAUAAUUAGUUUGAGAUGAGUUUAUGCGAGUUUGUAUUCCAAACAUAGCUUAAUAAUCUAAAUACUCAAAUUUUAACCAAGAAUGUUAAUUGAAUAAUAUAAACAGCUUAGAUGUAAAGUCAAGAGGGAAGCAUAUUAGUAACUGUAGUUUUUUGGGACUAAAACCUUUGACUUUAGAGAGAAAGAGUCUACCUUCUCUCUAAAACUUCCCAAAACACGAACCAACCCCCUCCCUCUUCCCUUCCUCAUCUCUCCUCCCUUUUCUCUCUUGUUUUCUUUCUUUUUUUCAAGUUUUAUUUUUCAGGUCAACGUAUGACAAAAGGCCAAUCUAUAUCUCUCCGACGUCUAGUGACUACCAUGUGCCCCACUGUAGGAAUUCUAAGGCACUGAUCUUUCAGGCGGGCGAAGAAUUUUGCUGAAAGGAUCGACGUGUGCGUGCGAUCUAAAGUUGGUGCAUGAGAUCCACGUGCCUUCACCAGGGAUGAUCUUGUUACAAUCCCUAGAAAAGUCAUCUUAGGACAAGCCUUGACACUAUACUUGGGAGGCAAGAACAACACCUUGGCUAGCCCACAAGCAUGCCUUGGCUCAUGGGGUGACACGCAUGAGGCACCCAGCAUGCAUGCAUGCCUUGGCCUGCGCGGUGGCAUAUACGGAGCGUCUAGCAUGUGGGCUAGUGUGGCUAGUGAUAGUUUGCUUGCACGCACAGCCUGGCGUCGCACGCCCAUGCGAGUCUCAGUGUGUAGGCCCGUGCGCACCAUGGUGGGCUGCGUGGCCCUUGCACGCACCCGUGCACCGCAAGGCCUUGCGCGGCACUUCCAACCCACCCAGCCACACUUCAGCAAGGCUAGUGGCAUACCCACCAGGCAUGCCAUCCAGCGCACGACUCCAGCCCGUGCCUUGCAGAGCAGGUCAGUGACAUGCCAUCCAGCGCAUGGCUCCAGCCAUACCUUGCAGACUUAGCGCCUAGGCCACUAGCCUAGGCCAUGCCGCACGCACACAUGGCUCACCACCAGCAGGCCUUGCAUGGCACCAUGCCAUGCCCACCAGCAGGCCCUUGCAUGGCACCAUGCCAUGCGCAUCCGCAAGCCAUGUUGUGCCACCUAGCCAUGGACCAGACCGAAGACCAUCAUGCACCAUCCUAGCCACCAUGGGCUCAUGCAUGCCUGGAUCAACUUGGCCCGCCACUAUGUUAUUUCUUUUUAUUUAUGUUAUUUUUAUUUAUUUAUUUCCAAUGGGCCUUUUGGGGGUUUCCAAGUUGUAACUCCUAUAUAUAGGACCCUUAGUUCAUUUCUUUCAUAUCUUUGGACAAUUGGCUUAGGAAGGCUUUGUUUUGGAGAUCAUCCAUUUCGGUGCUUAGCACUUAGGCUCUUUGGGGUGCAAUUCGUGAAUCCCUAAGGAGAGAAUCACACUUUGCAAUUCAUGAAUAAGUGUGGUUCAAUCUAUCAAUCAUAUUAUUCUUGUCAU
Carya illinoinensis is the source of this 4151-nucleotide RNA transcript. It is a transcript of the gene named Holliday junction resolvase MOC1, chloroplastic-like, with no coding region annotated. Lineage: Eukaryota; Viridiplantae; Streptophyta; Magnoliopsida; Fagales; Juglandaceae. The transcript has 7 exons. The record is from RefSeq and is a predicted model, not a curated record.